Molecule: unclassified non-coding RNA, 403 nt
Filed under: Hevea brasiliensis (rubber tree)
Lineage: Eukaryota; Viridiplantae; Streptophyta; Magnoliopsida; Malpighiales; Euphorbiaceae
Source: RNAcentral
ACCCAAUGAUUGGAUGUUUAAACACAUUGUAAUUAUCCAUUAUACUAAACUCAUAUUAUUCAAUCCAGACAAAUUAUAUUUAAAAUCAUGUCUUGAAUGAUGAUGGUUUUUGGAAAUGCGUGUUGAUUCACAGCACAUAAACUUCAUACAGUAAUUGCUUUAAUCACUUUUUUCUUAAUCAUCUAUAUGCAUUAGAGUUAAUAAUUUGUCUAAUUUGUACUUAAGCACAUCCUAAUUUAACGACUAAUCAGAUUCUCAAAACGCCUCGCGUGCGUCAUUAGAUUGAACAAUACAUAUCAGUUUCGCAAUUAUUACAAAAUUAAAGAUAAAUUUAAAAUUAAAAAUAUUAUUAAAUGCAGCAAAUAAUAACAUGAUUUGACUUUUGCUAAAAAAAAAUGUUAAG